Molecule: ribosomal RNA, 433 nt
Filed under: uncultured bacterium
Lineage: Bacteria
Description: partial 16S ribosomal RNA
Rfam family: Bacterial small subunit ribosomal RNA
Source: RNAcentral
AAUGAACGCUGGCGGCAUGCCUAACACAUGCAAGUCGAACGAGACCUUCGGGACUAGUGGCGCACGGGUGCGUAACGCGUGGGAACCUGCCCUUAGGUUCGGAAUAACUCCCCGACAGGGGUGCUAAUACCGGAUAAUGUCUUCGGACCAAAGAUUUAUCGCCUUUGGAUGUGCCCGCGUUGGAUUAGCUAUUUGUUAGGGUAAAAGCAUACCAAGGCGAGGAUCCAUAGCUGGUCUGAGAGGAAGAUCAGCCACACUGGGACUGAGACACGGCCCAGACUCCUACGGGAGGCAGCAGUGGCGGAUAUUGGAAAAUGGGCGGAAGGCUGAACGAGCACUGCCGCGUGAGUGAUGAAGGCCUUAGGGUUGAAAAGCUCUUUUACCCGGGAUGAUAAUGACAGUACCGGGAGAAUAAGCUCCGGCUAACUCCGUG